CAGACUGGAGAUUGCAUUUAUUUAUAUUUUUUUUCUGGGAAAUCUCUGUUUCAAACUCUGCAUGUAAUGGUUUGAAGAACCAUAAAACCCAUUUCAUUCACAUUACUUGUGGAUUGUUGACUCCUGAGGGAAAAAUGAACGGAGUACUUGCAAUGUAACGAUUACAAGUUUCCGACUUGGCAAACCUCGUCUAAUUUGGAAUCCGUUCUUCGUGUCAGUGAUUUUGUUCUUGAAAUUGCUAUCUAUGUGGGAUAAACCAUGAACAGAGCUUCAAGGGAUAGGAAGGUAUGUGUGGGAUAAACCAGAAUACGCUUUCUUACUCUUUCUGGGUUCUCUUGCUGGGCAUUUACUGGGAAAGGGAAGAAGUUUCGAGGUGUCCUAAAGCUCAUUCAAAUAGAUUGUGAGUAAUUCAACGUAUUUGAAGGUUGCUGACUAUUUUUAUUUUUUCAUUUGAUGCAUAAAUGAUUUUUCCCUCUGACCUGUAUUUUAGAAUAGGAAUCUGAUUGAACCUUGAUAUAUGAAACCAUUGGAUGUAAUUUAAAUUAAUCACUCACUAGCAAAUACUUACCAACGCGUUUGUUUUGCUUUACACUCCGUACUGGAAACCUUUGACUUUAUUAGUUUCUUGAAAAUAAAGGAUGCCUUCUGCGGUACAUUUUACGCGCUGCCUCUAGUAGCUGGGUUCCGGCUCUGGUGAUUGAAUUUACAUUGGCAAUUUUUAUUGAUUCCAAGGCCUUCAUUUCAAGAGAUGUGGUCUUAUUUUUGUUUUAUGACUUGUUCUUGUUCAUCUGCAAUGGCAAAAUGCCCUUUGAAGAUGAUAAUCUAUAUUAGUAUCGCUGCAACGAUGCCUUCUAUCAUGUCUUGCCAAUUUAUUUCUCCGGUUCCUUCUAUCAGUGUAUGCAAGAUUUAGACAGUAUGAAAGGUUUGUAGAACUGAUGAACAAGCUUUCCCUAUUUCUUAUUCUUGAAGGGGGUUAGCGCAAAUUUUUGUAGUCCAGCACUUGACAAUUGAGUAAAGGUGCUACUCCAAGAAAGCAAACUGUACCUGUGAUCAAUAAUGCUGGUAUUUGAUGGAAAUUAGGGAAAAUAUGUGGAAUGUUCAUUUACGGUUGUGAGAUUAGGGAAAUCUAAAAUUUAAUUGGCAAGGAAACAGAUCUGAAUUGGGCUGGAUCUGAAAGGAAAACGGAUUGAAAUGAUGCAGAGAGGAAAUUAAAUCCUCAUUUGGCACUUGAGUUUGAUUUUCUCCUUCUGCCAUGGUGCUUUCCUGACUUUUUUGGAAGAUCAUUUGUAUCAGGGGAUGAGUCACAUUUAAUUUACAAAUAUCAGUUGACCUUUGAACUUCUGAUCUUGCUGAUCUUGCAAAGGAAGCAAAUGAUCCAUUAUUGGAGGUGUCUUAAAGAUCAUGAAGUUAUUGCAGCUAUUGAUUUGCAGUCCAUGGCUCCAACCGGAGAUGUUAUCCAGGUUUAAUUGAUGUCGCCCAUGUUUCUAAGGAAGGAGGGAAGUUUCUUUCACAAAUAUUUAGAAGACAACGCACAAGCCUUCUAUAAUGUCAGAUUUGCUCUGUGGGAAAUUUAUAUGGUGGGAACUUAGUUUGACAAAUGCAAAAGGAUUUUUCUAAAUCUCCUUCAUCCUUCCUUUUCCAGUUAUUUUUUGCAGCGUACAUAAAGAAGGAACAAUAAAUUGUUUUUUCAGACUUUUGAUUAACACUUAAAAUGAAAGUUACAAACCUAAAGGUUAAUACCAUAUGACUGGUGACAUGGAAAGCUGCAUCUCCACAAUUCAUAGAUGUAGUAAUAUCUGCUAAAAAAGAAUGACAAAAUCCUCUAAUAUCAUUUCAACAAGUCUUGUAAAGGGAAUCAUGAGCCAACUAGAUAUACAAAGUAAUAUAGUGGUACUUUGUAAGAAAAAGAAAAGCACCAAGUUGCUUUCUAAAUUGAUUUGAUUCAUGAUAGCAUGCCUUUUGUAUGGUUAGAAAACCCACUCAUGAGAGUAUCUGAAGUUUCAGUUGUCCUUUUGAAAUUGUUGUGCAGUUCUAUGUCCUUGCUGCAUACUCAUCAACUGUCUUUGAAAAGUGAUACAGGCGUAUUAACUGUCUUUGAAAGUACUCAGAACUUCUUCAUGAUAUCAUUUAAUUUUCACCACAAUUUUUUAUUUUCAAUCUAUAUGCCUAGAUCACUAUAACAUGCUCUUGCUGCCUGCGUCACCUUUGCAUUUGCAGCUGAAAUUAUUCUUCCCUGUGGCAACUUUAUCAAAACCAAAAAGCAGCCGCAAUUUAAGCACGGGUGAGGAUUUUGGUUUCCCCUUUUCCUACUACUCUAACUUUUGAGAGAUGAACUUUGAAUUUGGAACCUGUAUAAUUUUGACGUUACCAAGUUAAGAUAACCGUCCAAGCUUACAACUGUUCCACUGGAUGAUGCCGAUGGCGAUACUGUUUCCUGAACGAGGUUCUUUCGACAUAAGCUGAACAAAAAGACAAGGUAUCCCGCAGAUACUGUUGCCUCCUUUAUUUCCUAUGCUUUUUCAUAUGGCAACAAACACCAGUGAUAUCGAUCCAAACCUGGAGGAACAUGACUUGCAUCGCAGGGUUGCUGGAUCAUCUAGGACAAAUUUCUCUGGUCAAAGAUUGCUGCACAACAUUAAACUUUGUUGGAUUAAGUAUAUAUUAAAUAGCUUAAGCCAAUUUGAUGGGAUUUACCUUGAGGUUAAAUUUUCUUCUUUUUGCCUAGGUUGGUACUUCAUUGGAGUUUCAGAGGCUUCAAAACCGUACCAAAUAGUAUUGAACUUCGUUGAAUGAAGUAUAUAUUAGGUUUGUCUUUUUAUCAAAAUAGCUUAAACUAAUUUGAUGGGACUUACUUUAAGGUUAUGCAGCUUUAAUUCAUUCUUCAGUUAAUCAAUGUGGGAUUUUUCAAUACAUUCUA
Molecule: long non-coding RNA, 2917 nt
Organism: Prosopis cineraria
Lineage: Eukaryota; Viridiplantae; Streptophyta; Magnoliopsida; Fabales; Fabaceae
Exons: 5
Source: RefSeq, a predicted model, not a curated record